Molecule: transfer RNA, 72 nt
Filed under: Phrynosoma platyrhinos (Desert horned lizard)
Lineage: Eukaryota; Metazoa; Chordata; Lepidosauria; Squamata; Phrynosomatidae
Description: tRNA-OTHER
Source: RNAcentral
GCCAACAUGGCAUAGUGGUUUGAGUGCUGGACUACAACUCUGGAGAUCAAGGUUCAAUUCCCAGCUCAGCCA